CAAACGCUGGCGGCGUGCCUAACACAUGCAAGUCGUACGAGAAAGUCGGCUUCGGCCGAUGAGUACAGUGGCGCACGGGUGAGUAGCGCGUGGGUAAUCUGCCCCCCGGUCAGGAAUAACCCGCCGAAAGGCAGGCUAAUACCCGAUAACACUGACGCUCCGCGGAGCGUCUUUCAAAGGAGGCCUCUGUUUACAAGCUUUCGCCGGAGGAUGAGCCCGCGUACCAUUAGCUAGUUGGCAGGGUAAUGGCCUACCAAGGCUGCGAUGGUUAGCUGGUCUGAGAGGAUGGCCAGCCACACUGGAACUGAGACACGGUCCAGACUCCUACGGGAGGCAGCAGUGAGGAAUCUUGCGCAAUGGGGGAAACCCUGACGCAGCAACGCCGCGUGAGUGAGGAAGGCCUUCGGGUCGUAAAGCUCUGUCAGAUGGGAAGAAAUGGGUGGGGGCUAAUAUCGCCCAUCCUUGACGGUACCAUCAGAGGAAGCACCGGCUAACUCCGUG
Molecule: ribosomal RNA, 501 nt
Filed under: uncultured bacterium
Lineage: Bacteria
Description: bacterial SSU rRNA
Rfam family: Bacterial small subunit ribosomal RNA
Source: RNAcentral